This is a non-coding RNA of Camellia sinensis, 325 nucleotides long. NCBI's taxonomy places the organism in Eukaryota, Viridiplantae, Streptophyta, Magnoliopsida, Ericales, Theaceae. The record is from RefSeq and is a predicted model, not a curated record.
GGACUAUGAUAUGGAAAGCCCAAGCCCUUUCAAGAAAUCUGAUAUUAUCGGCAUUGUUCCUGUGUGUAAACAUGUAGGAUGCUCUUCUACAGAUGGGCGGACCCUAUUGGAGUCAUCAAAGAUGGCACUCGAUAAAGGAUAGCUAGAAGAUGCUGUCAACUAUGGAACGAAGGCAUUGGCAAAGAUGAUAGCGGUCUGUGGUCCCUAUCAUCGUACGACUGCGAGUGCGUACAGUCUGUUAGCUGUUGUGCUUUACCACACUGGAGACUUUAAUCAGGUAGAUAUAUAUAAUAUUCUUUUGUUAAUAAUCAGGUAGUCUGUUAAC